UCAAGCAGCCAUAUCACACUGCAACUUACAACUGGCAACCCACUGAAGCUAAGCAGGUGUGAGCCUGGUCAGUACCUGGAUGGGAGACCUCCUGGGAAAAACUAAAGGCUGCUGCUGGAA
Molecule: ribosomal RNA, 120 nt
Filed under: Lepisosteus oculatus (spotted gar)
Lineage: Eukaryota; Metazoa; Chordata; Actinopteri; Semionotiformes; Lepisosteidae
Source: RNAcentral